UACGUAGGGGGCGAGCGUUGUCCGGAUUUAUUGGGCGUAAAGAGCUCGUAGGCGGUUUGGUAAGUUGGAUGUGAAAUCUCCAGGCUCAACUUGGAGGGGUCAUUCGAUACUGCCAUGACUAGAGUUCGGUAGGGGAGUGUGGAAUUCCUGGUGGAGCGGUGAAAUGCGCAGAUAUCAGGAGGAACACCCGUAGCGAAGGCGGCACUCUGGGCCGGAACUGACGCUGAGGCACGAAGGCCAGGGGAGCAAACGGG
This 254-nucleotide ribosomal RNA is filed under the name uncultured bacterium. Its description in RNAcentral is "partial 16S ribosomal RNA". It matches the Rfam family "Bacterial small subunit ribosomal RNA", at positions 524 to 776 of the family's 1533-position model. The record is from RNAcentral.